Molecule: small nuclear RNA, 18 nt
Filed under: Arabidopsis thaliana (thale cress)
Lineage: Eukaryota; Viridiplantae; Streptophyta; Magnoliopsida; Brassicales; Brassicaceae
Description: snRNA_15207
Source: RNAcentral
AUGCCUGUCGGGACCCGA